UCAACUGAUGAAAACGUGGAAUAGGAAGUGCCGUCAGAUGCGAUAACUGAUGAAUAUUUCUAAUCCGUUAUUCUGAGC
Nothobranchius furzeri (turquoise killifish) is the source of this 78-nucleotide small nucleolar RNA. NCBI's taxonomy places the organism in Eukaryota, Metazoa, Chordata, Actinopteri, Cyprinodontiformes, Nothobranchiidae. The record is from Ensembl.